UACGUAGGGUGCAAGCGUUGUCCGGAAUUAUUGGGCGUAAAGAGCUCGUAGGCGGCUUGUCGCGUCGGCUGUGAAAACCUGGGGCUCAACCCCGGGCCUGCAGCCGAUACGGGCAAGCUAGAAUUCGGUAGAGGAGACUGGAAUUCCUGGUGUAGCGGUGAAAUGCGCAGAUAUCAGGAGGAACACCAGUGGCGAAGGCGGGUCUCUGGGCCGAAAUUGACGCUGAGGAGCGAAAGCGUGGGGAGCAAACAGG
RNAcentral lists this ribosomal RNA (253 nucleotides) under uncultured bacterium. Its description in RNAcentral is "partial 16S ribosomal RNA". It matches the Rfam family "Bacterial small subunit ribosomal RNA", at positions 524 to 776 of the family's 1533-position model. The record is from RNAcentral.